This 72-nucleotide transfer RNA is filed under the name Ictidomys tridecemlineatus (thirteen-lined ground squirrel). RNAcentral's name for it is "Spermophilus tridecemlineatus (thirteen-lined ground squirrel) tRNA". It matches the Rfam family "tRNA". Rfam says of the family: Transfer RNA (tRNA) molecules are approximately 80 nucleotides in length. Their secondary structure includes four short double-helical elements and three loops (D, anti-codon, and T loops). Lineage: Eukaryota; Metazoa; Chordata; Mammalia; Rodentia; Sciuridae. The record is from Rfam by way of RNAcentral.
AAGAGUGUAGCUCAAUGGUAGAGCGUUUACCUAGCAUGCUUAAGACUCUGGGUUCAAUCCCCAGUGCUAUUA